This 817-nucleotide long non-coding RNA is filed under the name Citrus x clementina. RNAcentral describes it as "Citrus clementina (C. clementina) long non-coding RNA (CCLE_LNC003856)". Lineage: Eukaryota; Viridiplantae; Streptophyta; Magnoliopsida; Sapindales; Rutaceae. The record is from RNAcentral.
UUUUAAUUUGUAAAUAAUUUCAAUGAGGUAGGAAAAGAUAAAGGGUUUAGGAGAUAUUUGAAGGAGUGGCAACUGCCAAUAAUAAACUGUUUUAUAAUAAUGUUCCAAUAAAAGAAUAACGUGGCUGUUAUAAAAAGGUAGUGUGGAUUUAUUAUGGCCCAUCUCUUUCUAGUCAAGCCCACUCAAUGGAUUUAGGAAUUCGAGUUUCAAUUUCUCAUCUAAUUGGGCCUAUGGGCUUCAUCAGUUCAAGUGUGUGUAUCGCUUGUUGAUGCUUUGAGUUUCUACCUGUUAUUCGAGUAUUUAUGUAAAUACACAUAUAAAAAUACACAUAAAUACACAAAUGCACAUAUAAAAAUAAUAAUUCGAGUUUCUACUUGUUACUAAGGGAUGAAAAUGUUAUUUUGUUCUUUUAUUAUAAUUUAUAUGUGUAUUUAUGUAAUACAUUAUGAAUUAUUUUUUUAAUAUAUGAUUUUGUGUCUUUUUUAGUGUUCAUUAAGUAAAAUAAUAAUUUCAUGUAAUCUGAGACUUCAAACAAAUAAACAGAUGUCAAAUUUGGAUUCUGAAGGUUAUCGAGGUGGAUCAACGCCUUUUGUUGUAAAAGUAAAACUUGCUUAUUAUGUUAGGUGUGAAAAUUGUAAGUAAAACUUGUCAAAUGUACGGCUAUGAAAUAAUGGGCUCUGUUCAUGUCUGUAGUGGGAAUUGAUUAUGAGCUAGUAUAAAUGUUUGUAGUUGCCAUCACUUUCUCUACACUUUUCUUCACUUCUUUCUCUUAAAAUUCUCCUCUUCAUCUCUUAUAAAUACUCUUCUUUAAUAUUCU